This 74-nucleotide transfer RNA is filed under the name Beggiatoa sp. SS. It matches the Rfam family "tRNA". From Rfam's summary of the family: Transfer RNA (tRNA) molecules are approximately 80 nucleotides in length. Their secondary structure includes four short double-helical elements and three loops (D, anti-codon, and T loops). Lineage: Bacteria; Pseudomonadati; Pseudomonadota; Gammaproteobacteria; Thiotrichales; Thiotrichaceae. The record is from Rfam by way of RNAcentral.
GGAGUGGUAGUUCAUCUGGUUAGAAUUCCUGCAUGUCACGCAGGGGGUCGCGGGUUCGAGUCCCGUCCAAUCCG